RNAcentral lists this signal recognition particle RNA (285 nucleotides) under Otolemur garnettii (small-eared galago). Its description in RNAcentral is "Metazoan signal recognition particle RNA". It matches the Rfam family "Metazoan signal recognition particle RNA". From Rfam's summary of the family: The signal recognition particle (SRP) is a universally conserved ribonucleoprotein. It is involved in the co-translational targeting of proteins to membranes. Lineage: Eukaryota; Metazoa; Chordata; Mammalia; Primates; Galagidae. The record is from Rfam by way of RNAcentral.
GUUAAAAGCAAACCCAGCUCUAUUCUGGAGACUGAGGCAGGAGGAUCACUUGAGUGAGAGUUCUGGGCUUUAGUGAGCUAUGCCAAUUGGGUGUCUGCACUAAGUUUGACAUCAACAUGGUAAUCUCCUGGGAAUGGUGGAUCACCAGGGAGGUGUCUAAGGAGGGGCAAACUGGCCCAGAUCAGAUAUAGAGCAAUUCAAAACUUUCAUCUUGAUCAGUGGUGGGAGGAUCAUGCCUGUAAGUAGCCACUCCAGUCUGGGCAACGUAGCAAGACCCUAUCUCUA